This 73-nucleotide transfer RNA is filed under the name Diaphorina citri (Asian citrus psyllid). It matches the Rfam family "tRNA". From Rfam's summary of the family: Transfer RNA (tRNA) molecules are approximately 80 nucleotides in length. Their secondary structure includes four short double-helical elements and three loops (D, anti-codon, and T loops). Further hydrogen bonds mediate the characteristic L-shaped molecular structure. tRNAs have two regions of fundamental functional importance: the anti-codon, which is responsible for specific mRNA codon recognition, and the 3' end, to which the tRNAs corresponding amino acid is attached (by aminoacyl-tRNA synthetases). tRNAs cope with the degeneracy of the genetic code in two manners: having more than one tRNA (with a specific anti-codon) for a particular amino acid; and 'wobble' base-pairing, i.e. permitting non-standard base-pairing at the 3rd anti-codon position. Lineage: Eukaryota; Metazoa; Arthropoda; Insecta; Hemiptera; Psyllidae. The record is from Rfam by way of RNAcentral.
GCCUAGUUAGCUUAGUUGGUAGUGCGUCUGCCUUGUAAGCGUUAGGCCGCGGGUUCGAUUCCCGCCCGAGGCG